Molecule: ribosomal RNA, 253 nt
Filed under: uncultured bacterium
Lineage: Bacteria
Description: partial 16S ribosomal RNA
Rfam family: Bacterial small subunit ribosomal RNA
Source: RNAcentral
UACGUAGGGUGCAAGCGUUGUCCGGAAUUAUUGGGCGUAAAGAGCUCGUAGGCGGUUUGUCGCGUCUACUGUGAAAACUCGGGGCUCAACCCCGAGCCUGCUUCCGAUACGGGCAGACUAGAGGUAUGCAGGGGAGAAUGGAAUUCCUGGUGUAGCGGUGAAAUGCGCAGAUAUCAGGAGGAACACCGGUGGCGAAGGCGGUUCUCUGGGCAUUACCUGACGCUGAGGAGCGAAAGUGUGGGGAGCGAACAGG